Molecule: transfer RNA, 71 nt
Filed under: Bos taurus (domestic cattle)
Lineage: Eukaryota; Metazoa; Chordata; Mammalia; Artiodactyla; Bovidae
Also listed under: 2 other names
Rfam family: tRNA
About the family: Transfer RNA (tRNA) molecules are approximately 80 nucleotides in length. Their secondary structure includes four short double-helical elements and three loops (D, anti-codon, and T loops).
Source: Rfam by way of RNAcentral
UCCCUGGUGGUCCAGUGGUUAAGACUGCGCUUUCAAUGCAGGGGGCCUGGGUUUUAUCCCUGGUCAGGGAA